RNAcentral lists this ribosomal RNA (253 nucleotides) under uncultured bacterium. RNAcentral's name for it is "partial 16S ribosomal RNA". It matches the Rfam family "Bacterial small subunit ribosomal RNA", at positions 524 to 776 of the family's 1533-position model. The record is from RNAcentral.
UACGGAGGGUGCGAGCGUUAAUCGGAAUAACUGGGCGUAAAGGGCACGCAGGCGGGCUUUUAAGUGAGAUUUGAAAUCCCCGGGCUUAACCUGGGAAUAGCAUUUCAGACUGGGAGUCUAGAGUACUUUAGGGAAGGGUAGAAUUCCACGUGUAGCGGUGAAAUGCGUAGAGAUGUGGAGGAAUACCGAAGGCGAAGGCAGCUCCUUGGAAAUAUACUGACGCUCAGGUGCGAAAGCGUGGGGAGCAAACAGG